This is a non-coding RNA of Podarcis lilfordi (Lilford's wall lizard), 78 nucleotides long. NCBI's taxonomy places the organism in Eukaryota, Metazoa, Chordata, Lepidosauria, Squamata, Lacertidae. The record is from the annotation of a GenBank genome assembly.
GCUAUAGAUCUGUGGUUAGUUGGUAACAGCAUGAAACUCUUCAUCUCAAGGUCAUGGGUUUGAGCCCCACGAUGGGCA